This 87-nucleotide transfer RNA is filed under the name Candidatus Kaiserbacteria bacterium CG10_big_fil_rev_8_21_14_0_10_59_10. Its description in RNAcentral is "tRNA-Leu". It matches the Rfam family "tRNA". From Rfam's summary of the family: Transfer RNA (tRNA) molecules are approximately 80 nucleotides in length. Their secondary structure includes four short double-helical elements and three loops (D, anti-codon, and T loops). The record is from RNAcentral. Lineage: Bacteria; Candidatus Kaiseribacteriota.
GCCGAGGUGGUGAAAUUGGCAGACACGCUGCGUUCAGGUCGCAGUGCUCGCAAGGGCUUGCGGGUUCGAGUCCCGCCCUCGGCACCA